RNAcentral lists this ribosomal RNA (1201 nucleotides) under uncultured bacterium. RNAcentral's name for it is "bacterial SSU rRNA". It matches the Rfam family "Bacterial small subunit ribosomal RNA", at positions 166 to 1387 of the family's 1533-position model. The record is from RNAcentral.
AUACCGCAUAAGCGCACAGCAUCGCAUGAUGCAGUGUGAAAAACUCCGGUGGUAUAAGAUGGACCCGCGUUGGAUUAGCUAGUUGGUGAGGUAACGGCCCACCAAGGCGACGAUCCAUAGCCGACCUGAGAGGGUGACCGGCCACAUUGGGACUGAGACACGGCCCAAACUCCUACGGGAGGCAGCAGUGGGGAAUAUUGCACAAUGGGCGAAAGCCUGAUGCAGCGACGCCGCGUGAGCGAAGAAGUAUUUCGGUAUGUAAAGCUCUAUCAGCAGGGAAGAUAAUGACGGUACCUGACAAGAAGCACCGGCUAAAUACGUGCCAGCAGCCGCGGUAAUACGUAUGGUGCAAGCGUUAUCCGGAUUUACUGGGUGUAAAGGGAGCGCAGGCGGUGCGGCAAGUCUGAUGUGAAAGCCCGGGGCUCAACCCCGGUACUGCAUUGGAAACUGUCGUACUAGAGUGUCGGAGGGGUAAGCGGAAUUCCUAGUGUAGCGGUGAAAUGCGUAGAUAUUAGGAGGAACACCAGUGGCGAAGGCGGCUUACUGGACGAUAACUGACGCUGAGGCUCGAAAGCGUGGGGAGCAAACAAGAUUAGAUACCCUGGUAGUCCGCGCCGUAAACGAUGAAUACUAGGUGUUGGGAAGCAUUGCUUCUCGGUGCCGUCGCAAACGCAGUAAGUAUUCCACCUGGGGAGUACGUUCGCAAGAAUGAAACUCAAAGGAAUUGACGGGGACCCGCACAAGCGGUGGAGCAUGUGGUUUAAUUCGAAGCAACGCGAAGAACCUUACCAAGUCUUGACAUCCUUCUGACCGGUACUUAACCGUACCUUCUCUUCGGAGCAGGAGUGACAGGUGGUGCAUGGUUGUCGUCAGCUCGUGUCGUGAGAUGUUGGGUUAAGUCCCGCAACGAGCGCAACCCUUAUCUUUAGUAGCCAGCGGUUCGGCCGGGCACUCUAGAGAGACUGCCAGGGAUAACCUGGAGGAAGGCGGGGAUGACGUCAAAUCAUCAUGCCCCUUAUGACUUGGGCUACACACGUGCUACAAUGGCGUAAACAAAGGGAAGCAAAGCUGUGAAGCCGAGCAAAUCUCAAAAAUAACGUCUCAGUUCGGACUGUAGUCUGCAACCCGACUACACGAAGCUGGAAUCGCUAGUAAUCGCAGAUCAGAAUGCUGCGGUGAAUACGUUCCCGGGUCUUGCACU